RNAcentral lists this ribosomal RNA (253 nucleotides) under uncultured bacterium. Its description in RNAcentral is "partial 16S ribosomal RNA". It matches the Rfam family "Bacterial small subunit ribosomal RNA", at positions 524 to 776 of the family's 1533-position model. The record is from RNAcentral.
UACGUAGGGGGCAAGCGUUGUCCGGAUUCAUUGGGCGUAAAGCGCGGGCAGGCGGCCCGUUAAGUCGGCCGUGAAAGCGCCGGGCUCAACUCGGCGAGGACGGGCGAGACUGACGGGCUCGAGGUUGGCAGAGGGCGGUGGAAUUCCGGGUGUAGUGGUGGAAUGCGUAGAGCUCCGGAGGAACACCAGUGGCGAAGGCGGCCGCCUGGGCCAAUACUGACGCUGAGCCGCGAAAGCGUGGGGAGCGAGCCGG